UAUAUGUAAAAUAACAAAGCAAGGGUCAAAUAUUAGUCAAAAUCUAAUCACGUAAAAUAAGUGAGGUAAAAGUGAAAUUUAAUGAAGUUUAUGGAUCAAAUUACAUGAGUUUAAUUAAAAACUGGAACAACAGCAGCACACAAAAAUAUUGAUGCAAUUUUAAAAUGAAACAGUAAUAUAAACCAAAGAUAAAUAAAAGCAGUAACUUCCAUUUCUUCCGUUAAAGUAGCUAUGCUAAAUUAACCCGAAUAAAAAGGAGGUACCUACAAAUAAUAGAAAAUACGUUUUUUUUUUUUUUUUCACUUUUCUUUCUUCUCUCUCUCUAUUUUUUUUUAAAUUAAAAAAAUGACUCUUACAUAAACGAAAUGAACGAAACAGGGGUUUAAGUUGAGGCACAAAUCAUACACUACCCAUUUAACACAUGGCCCAAUAUUAAUACACUAUCCAAACUACCACCAAAGCCUAAUGAAAUCAGAGGCAGAGACUUACGAGAGGGAAAAUGAGGGCUGUGUUGAUGGAAAUUGCGGCAAGUAUGAUGGGCGACGGCAUUGUGAGGGAGAUCGACGGUCGCGUCCAUGGUGGUCACGAGUGGAGGAGACAGUUGUGGGUGGGUGCUCUGGGUUAUCGCAAGAGGCCCGAGUUCAGAAAGGCGAUGGAUCAAUUUCUGGUUGCUGUAAUUUCAAAUGAGUUUGUUCAAUUUCUGGUUGCUAUCGCGAGUGAGGAGGCUUUGCUGAUUUAGAGUUGAUUUGUAGAUGACUGGUGGAACAGAAAGUGUCUAACCUUUUCGGAUCUGGUGCACAAGGACGGAUUUGCAGCAACGGUUGCAGCUUGGUGGUUGUUAUGGUAGGACAGUUUGUGUAUAUGGUGUAUACAGAGCUCUGUCGGUUAUUAUAUGGGCUAGAGAUUGAUGGUGUUGAACCGCAGCACAGUGAAAUUCUUCUUCGCUGCCAUGGCAAUUCUGUGACUCAAAUUUUGAGUUGAAGAUGUUUGAACCAAGUUCAGCUUUGAUACCACUUUGAUGUAGAAUUAGUUGAGAUAAAGAAGCAAUAACAUGAAAGAAGUAGAGGAAGGAGGAGAAAAUAGGGAAGAAAGAGGAAGAAGCAGCAGGCGCAAGGGAAGAAGAAUACCAGAGAAAAGGAGAAGAAAACCGUGGGCAACAAGUCCAGUUAAUUUCCAAUCAUCGUAUGUUUUCUCUCACAUCCAAUACACCCCACUUGUAGAUAAAGUUGUGGGCUAGGGUCAGGCCCAAAUACAAACCCAAUUUACUAGUCCAAAAUAAUAAAACCCAAAUAAAACCCACAUCGAUCAUUUAACAAUGAGGAAAGUGAUCCCAAAGAAACUAAUGCCAUAAGUAAGUUCCAAUUUUCACUUUUGUGUUAUUUAAGUAUAUGUGAGCUUAAAAGAUGCAACAUGGACAACAGAUUGUGGUAUUAUAAGAAAACAUCUUUCUGGAUUGAUUAAAGUUAAAAUAACAAAAUUGCAGGGGGCAAGCAAUAAACUAUAAAGGAAAAUCUUCACCAGUCUUUAUUGUAAAUAUUUAGUGGGUAAGACCAUUUGAGAUUAUUGUUUUCUUGCACGGAUGCAAGUGAGUGCCAUGUGCAACCCACAUGCCCUUUUUUGUUUUACUUUAUGCAGUCGUUCAUCUUGUGCAAGUAAGAGUGUCAAUGGUGAUUAGAAAGUGAGAAGGCACUCAAAAAAGAACUAACGAAAAUAGAGGGGGAUAGAAAGGGAUGGAAAGAAAAGGAAAACAAGUCAUCCCAAGUGAUUUGCCAACAUGAUCAUUUUCUUCUUAAAAAAAAAAGUAAAAUAAAUUGAAGCUGCUAAUCCUUUUUGUUACCAAAUCCAUGAUGUUCAAGUUGAUGUUACUCAAUAGUCAAUUGCUCAGAUAAAUAGCUAGUGACAAAGCAUUUGAAACCUCUGUUUAGAAAGGAAAAAAUGCCUCUGGGACUUUCUUCACUAUCCCAAAGUCGUCUGGGCCUGAAGCUUCUCCUGGAUACUCCCUGUCCACUUGUUUACUAUUCGUCAUUUAACGACUAAUCUCUCUACUUCUUACUUAAUUGGUUUUCCCACCAGUUUGCAUACUGAACUGCAAACUUGGCAAUAAUCAUUAGACUCGAAGUUUAAACUUGCUAGUGUACUUGGUAUAGCUUCAGGUGUAUAUUACAAUGAAAAAUAGAUAUCACUAUAGUUGGGCCCACUUUCUGGGAUAUUUUUUUUUCUUUUGGUUUUAGUCCUCUUUCAUGCCUUCAUCUAUUGGAGUAUUGGUUACCUAUGGAUGUCAAAGUGCUCAGCGGAGUGGAAAUUUGGGACUAAUAAGCGUCCUAUCACACAUGCAUCGUAAUUUUGUAUUUUGUAUACCAGCUAUUUUUAUUAAUUUAAUAGAGUACCCCUCGACUUCCCGUUCAAUGCACAGUUGCACACAGAAGAUCUGCUGUAUGUUUCCAAUUUUUACUUUAUUGUUUUUAGUAUAUUUAUAUAUCAAUCGCCAUAUUUGGCAGGGAGCUCUCUCUGGCUGUUUGACACACUGCGACAUCACUACUGCCCUCCUGUUUCUAGGUAUAUGUUUCACACCAUGAUCUGUGCAUAUGCACAUUUCAAUGCAUUUUACAUAUAUUUCCCGAUAUAUCUUCUGUUGUCAAAGCAAAAACUGCUAAAAUUGCAGUUAAAGAUUUCAGUUCUGGUUCAUAUGCAACAAUUUUCAAUAACGAGGUAACGUCGCGUUAGUGCUGAUAUUUAAAUGUUAUUGAUUGUCAUACAUGAUAAACAGCAUUUGCUAGGUUCAGGAGCUUUCCAUAACAUGUUAAAUUAUGUGACUUCAUUUCUCCAUUAGGUUUCAGGAUCUAAAUUAUGUGUAUUUUUUUUGUAUUGCAAAUAUGUGGUCUAUUACUUCUUUGAUGGUUGACGUACAGCUGAUUUUUGACCCACUUUAAUCUGUUACCUUGAUUUACAUGCAGCUUCACCCAUUUAGUUUCACGUUUCAACACAUUUCCGCUGGAGUAUAGUUAUUGAUGCAGCACUUUUUUGUUUUCUGCAAUUAAUCCUCGAAAAAUAUGAAUUGUUCCUAUAGAUGAGACGAAGGGUGAAGCAAGUCCCAUUGGCAUUCUACAAAGCAACUCCAUCCUCCAAAAAUAUGAAUUUACGAUGGGUGAAGCCAGUCACGAUGGGUGAAGCAAGCCCCUUUGGUAUUCUACAAAGCAACUCCAUCGUGUUUGUUCUUGGAGUCCGAAUUUCCUGGUUGGAUGUUCAAAUUGAAAAGCGCCAAUCAAUAGAGUACUAAGUACAACUGAGAACAAGAAUCAUAUAAACUGCAGCACAUAGAGAGCUCGAUAAAUGUAGUUUCUCCACUUAUUUAAGAUCCUAAAAGAUGAUAUUUUAUUGUUUUUUGGAUGAAAUUCUACUUAACUUGUGUUAUAUUACAUUUUGUAGGUAAAACUCAAUUUUUGAUAAAGAAAU
Molecule: long non-coding RNA, 3453 nt
Filed under: Olea europaea subsp. europaea
Lineage: Eukaryota; Viridiplantae; Streptophyta; Magnoliopsida; Lamiales; Oleaceae
Source: RNAcentral